CUAUGCCGGUGUUCGACGCUCAUUUGCGAGUACGCACUUCAAACCCGUUCAUUCAUAAAUUGGAAUACGCUGGUGACUGACCUGGGAGCGCUGAGACGCCGUUCCUCCUGGAGGUAUUUCGUUUGGCUCGUAGCCAGGAUUACCUUUUAUCAGAGGACUUUGGGCAUUCAUCAAUUCAUCACUCCAUCACUUGAUCACGCUCACGGACGAUACAAACACCCGGACCAGGAACGUGCAGAAGAAAUGGUCAGGCUCAUGAGGUGGUGGUGGUGAAGUUGGAGGACCUAACCAACUUCUGAAAUGGUGAAAGCUUGCAAAGCCAGAAUGGGGGAGGGUCUCAAACAACUAGUGCAGAUGCAGCUCUAAAAACAAAAAGAUCAAAUUGCUGAAUACAUGUGCCAUGACUCGGAACCUGCGAAGAGGUUUUACGAAGUCAGUUCAACGGUCUCCGAAGUCAAUAGGAUUAGAAAACUACAGCGGUUGAGCCUUGAACAAGGUUGAACCGCCCGCACGGAAUCUGAAGAACCUGAAGGGGGAGGACAACAUCCGUCUACCUCCAAGAAAGAAGCUGGCACAGUGAGGGAGGAGGAGUGAGAUGGGGACAUUUUUGGCAAUUACAGUUUGGACAUUCUUGCCCUGAGGUUCUAAAGACAAAAACGGACUCCAUGAAAUGGUAUAGCCUGCUGUCUAACACAAACACUGAAUAAAAUAUAUGAAUCUUAGAAAUUCUCAUGUCAUUAAUGAUCUUACUCAUUUUCUCCUUUUACUCCAUGGAGACUGUUAACAGACUGAAAUGCAGGGAAUCAAGCCAGUACACCCUUAAACACUUGUCUAACAUCUAUCCUAUGUUGUUAGAAUUUAAUUUAUGAAGUAAUAUUAGCCAGCAAUACUAUUGAGAUGUUCCUGCUGCAAUAAAAUCAUGUUCCUUGGAUUUGUUUUAUAAAGUGUAUUGUUGACCUUAAUUUAGUGGAUUAUAACAAAAAUUAAAAGAACAUAAUCAGACACAUCAAAUAAUGGUUUUCAUGUAGAUUUCUGUCUCUUCAAUUCAUUCUUACAGUGCACAACUUGUUGCACAUUUUAUCAUUGCCCCUUGUGCCCUUCACUGAAGCCAAUGACUCAAAAGAAGAUUCAAAAUCAUUGGGAAGGCCAUGUAAAAAAAGGCAUUCAUUUUCAAAGCUCAACUACGUACUGGACAUAGAGAGACCAGGGAAUGAGCUGAUUGUCCGAACAGCAAAGACAGGCCUUGAUUUACAGUCCGCAUUGUACAUGGUGCUGGAUGCCCCAUUUGACUACACAAUUGCUUCUCUCCCUUUAGAAAGGGUCUUGGGACCUGCUGGGCACCCUGGCUCUCCAGCACCUGGAUCCGGCUCCGUAGGGUCGUCACCAGCGCCCGCAAGUCAAUGACCCUACAGACAAGCCUGCUAACCCUCACACGCCUCCUAUAUUCUUUCCCCUCUUCUCCAUCAUCCUGCUCCUGUGUCUCCUCUUCUAGAGGAGGAGGGGGUGACGGAGGGAGCUACCAUGGGGGGAUCUGGGUUGGAUGUUCGCAGCUCCUCCAGCUUAUCCACCACCACCCUCCUCUUGAUCCUGAACAUUUCUUCUCCUCCUUCUUCUUGGUCCUACAGAAUAUAUAGAAAUGCUUAUUUGACCAAUUUAUGUUAUUGUAAAUGAGGUUAAGCUCAUUGUUUUGUUUGCAUCUCUUUUUUUAUACAAUACUAAUUCAAUUCACACUCCACAAUAAAUAGAAUUUACAUCUUGUUUCGUGAACAUGUUUUCAAUUACGGAGUUCAAUGUAAUUGUCAUAUUUGUUCUGGUGUUUAAAGAUUUUAGAGAAAAUAAUUAAUAAAUGUUUGCCUGGGUUGUGAUAAUAUUGUAUUGUAUUGUAUUGUAUUGUAUUGUAAACACCUUCAUUGUUUUGAAGUGGAGGUUGCUCAACAAUAACAUCACAAAUAUUUCAAUCAAAUGAGUCUGGAAGUUACUGCUCAUACCUAGAUUGAUGGCCACCUUCUGAUGUUUGUGAUCCUCUUUUUGUUCAUUAUUGCACCUCCACUAAAUUAAUGCAAACAAUACACUUUAUAAAAAACAUAACUGCAAAUCUUAUAAAAAAACAAGGAACAAGACUUUAUUGAUUAAAACAUGAUCUUCAGGAUAGCUGUAGCAACCGUGAUGGUGGAUGAAUAUAAAGAAAUACUUUGACCAGUUUCUUUUAUUAUAGUUAAAGUGUAUUGUUUGUGUUAAUAAAGUCAUAUUCCUUGUUUUUAAUUUUGUUUUGCAGUUAUGUUUUUAUAGUUAACAAGUUGUAGUUUUUUUGUGUUAAUCAAUAAAGUCAUAUUGAUUUCCAACUA
This is a long non-coding RNA of Xyrauchen texanus (razorback sucker), 2345 nucleotides long. RefSeq lists it as uncharacterized. The record is from RefSeq and is a predicted model, not a curated record. The transcript has 7 exons. Lineage: Eukaryota; Metazoa; Chordata; Actinopteri; Cypriniformes; Catostomidae.